Molecule: long non-coding RNA, 262 nt
Filed under: Lathyrus oleraceus (garden pea)
Lineage: Eukaryota; Viridiplantae; Streptophyta; Magnoliopsida; Fabales; Fabaceae
Description: Pisum sativum (pea) long non-coding RNA (PSAT_LNC014019)
Source: RNAcentral
GAUUGUUGGAUCUGCCACGUCAAUUAAUGAGGCAUGAUCCAACGCUCAGUGUUUUUUUUUUUUCUGAUUUUUAUUUUUUUUCUCUUUUCAUUUUAAAUUUCUUUUUUCUUUAAAAAUUUAUACUAACUUCAUUUUUCAUCCAAAAAAUCCCAAAAUAAUUUCUAAAAUUUUCUUUUCUUUUUCUUCAUCUGAUUUUCAUUUUUCCACAUUUUAUUUUCUUGAUCUUCUAUUUUUCUUGAAUUUAUAUUUUCUCCUUUGUUUU